RNAcentral lists this ribosomal RNA (401 nucleotides) under uncultured bacterium. RNAcentral describes it as "bacterial SSU rRNA". It matches the Rfam family "Bacterial small subunit ribosomal RNA", at positions 355 to 773 of the family's 1533-position model. The record is from RNAcentral.
UGGGGAAUAUUGGACAAUGGGCGAAAGCCUGAUCCAGCCAUGCCGCGUGAGUGAUGAAGGCCAUAGGGUUGUAAAGCUCUUUUGUGCGGGAAGAUAAUGACGGUACCGCAAGAAUAAGCCCCGGCUAACUUCGUGCCAGCAGCCGCGGUAAUACGAAGGGGGCUAGCGUUGCUCGGAAUCACUGGGCGUAAAGGGUGCGUAGGCGGGUUUCUAAGUCAGAGGUGAAAGCCUGGAGCUCAACUCCAGAACUGCCUUUGAUACUGGAAGUCUUGAGUUCGGGAGAGGUGAGUGGAACUGCGAGUGUAGAGGUGAAAUUCGUAGAUAUUCGCAAGAACACCAGUGGCGAAGGCGGCUCACUGGCCCGAUACUGACGCUGAGGCACGAAAGCGUGGGGAGCAAAC